GCCAGAGUACUUUUUUUUUUUUUUUUUUUAAUGAGGUGAUUUUAUGACCUUUGGAAAGGAACUUGCUUUAGGAGAACCUGAGCAAGAAUUAUCUUGUUGAAAUAAAUGAUGGCGGAACAGGGAGCACAUCCAAAGGGGUCUCUGGGGUUUACAGAAUUUCCUUUUGCUCAGAGGGAGAGGCCAGUCAGGUCUCCUCCCACAGCACUGGAUGGGGGCGGGAGGGAGAGCUGAUGCUGUUCCACACACUGUUCCCUGAACAGCCCACACAUCUUCUCACCCCCACGCUCAUUUGGACCACUGAUCCUUCUUCCCAUCCCGUGCCUUCUGAAAUCUGGAUUUGCCUGGAGAUGCACUUUUAAUGCCCCUUUCUCUCUUUCCUUUUUUUUUUUUUUUUUUUUUUUUUUAAAGGGCAUAUGGAAGUUCCCAGGCUAGGGGGUCGAAUCAAAGCCACAGCUGUCACCCUACGCCAUAGGCGCAGCCACAUGGGAUCUGAGCCAUGUCUGUCAUAGCUGCUCAUGGCAACACCGGAUCCUUAACCCACUGUGUGAGGCCAGGGAUCAAACCCACGUCCUCAUGGAUCCUAGUGGAGUUCAGUAACUGCUGAGCCACGAAGGGAACUCCUACUGCCUCUCUUAAGGUAGUUUUCUCUACUCCCCCGAAAGAAUAAGCGAUUCUUUCCUUGGGACUUCCAAAGCAAAUUGCUUAAUUUCGUUGUGACACUUAUAUUCUGCCUUAAUCAUAGGAAGUUGUUUAUCCCUGUCUCUGUCACCAGACUGUAACACUCCUGAAGGAUAGGGAGUGUUUCUUGUUCUUAUUGGUAACUUCCUUCUCUUUCCUCUUCUCCCCACGCAUAGUGGAGUGCCUGCUACACAAUAUAUCCACACACAGAAACACACAAAUGCUUAUUGAGUGAAUAUUCCGGGCAUUGGCAGGUCCCUAUAAUGAAAUUUUAAUUCAGAGUCUGGUUCCUCUUCCAGCUAACCACUUCUGUUCCUCACUAUCACUUAAUACAUGCCCAGAGAAUGCAAACGAUUGUUUAAUAUUAUCUUCGGUAGAACAUAAUUAGGUGCUGCUAAAAAUUCAUCAUCAUGCUUUGCAAAGCCAAGAAGAAAUGACUUUUGCAUUAUCCGUACCACUAGUCUUCCUCCGUGUACCAAUAACUGAGAUGUGAAUGUGUUCCUUAUCGGUCACGAGGGGACACCAUCCAGGGCAGUUGGAUUCACUGGGUUGGAGGAGGAAGGGGCCCAGGGCCCAUGGCCUCUGCUGUAAUUCUUCCUUCUCGGCUGCUGUGCAUCCUGGGAUUUGCCCAGGGCACUUAGUGUUGGUGGUCCCGCCCUCAGCUGCAACCUAAAAAUGGCCAGUGUGGGCUGGCAUCAAGGAAGCAGCCCCACCAAAACCUCAAAAAUUUGCAGUCAGAAAUGCUGGAUCCUGGCUUUCAUUCUAGUGCUGUUCAGUUCUUUCUUGGGACAGGGUUUUAAACUCUCUUCAGUUCUUCUUCAGACCCGUGUGACCCCUUUUGUUAUCAGAUCUCUUUUUCCAGCGGAGGGGGGGGGUGCAAACACAGGUUUUUCACUACACUUGAAUGCAGGUUCUCCACCAAAAACCAGAAUUCAGUGGGCUGCGUGGUGUCAGAAUGACCCCUUGGUUUGGCUAAUUCAGUCAGCUAGUGAAAUGUUCAUAGGAGUUCCCGUCGUGGAGCAGCGGAAACGAAUCCCACUAAGAACCAUGAGGACAUGGGUUCAAUCCCCGGCCUUGCUCAGUGGGUUAAGGAUCCGGUGUUGCCAUGAGCUGUAAGUCGCAGGUGCAGCUUGGAUCCUGCGUUGCUGGGGCUGUGGCGUAGGCUGGCCGCUACAGCUCCGAUCAGACCCCUAUCCUACAGCUCCAAUUAGACCCCUAUCCUGCAAACCUCCAUAUGCUGCCAGAGCAGCCCUAAAAAGACAAAAAGACACCCCCCAAAAAAAUAAAAUAAAUAAAAUAUCUGUAUUUAAAAGAAAGAAAAGAAAAAAUGUUCGCAGUGCACAAGGCAUUACCUUCCUCUUGGUUUCCUUCCUGAAUACUAAAAAAGCUGUGUGGAGUUCCCGUCAUGGCUCAGUGGUUAAUGAACCCGACUAGUAUCCGUGAGUACGUGGGUUUGAUCCCUGGCCUUGUUCAGUGGGUUUAGGAUCCGGUGCUGCCGUGAGCUGUGGUGUAGGUUGCAGAUGUGGCUUGGAUCUGGCGUAGCUGUGGCUGUGGUGUAGGGUGGCAGCUACAACUCCAGUUCGACUCCUAGCCUGGGAACCUCCAUGUGCCGCAAGUGUGGCCCUAAGAGAAAGACUCACACACACAAAGACACACACACACACAAAAGAAAAAAGCUGUGUGACUUGAAACAAGUUGCUUAACUUCUCUGGGUCUCAGACUCCCCUAACAUGAGGAAGUUGAGCUAGGUAAAAGCAGAGGAUCUUUUUAGCUGUAGCUUUGUGUUUUAAAUAUAUGUUUUAUGUGUUUUUAAACCUUCUUCCCUUACUUAGGGGAGGAACGAGAGGGAGGGCUCUUGGGUGUUGGGCCCCGAGGCUGGCUGUGGGCUUUUUGAAGGGGGUUUUCCUUAGUUCCUUCUGUUCACUUGUCAGGUUUCAGGGGUAAAUUGUGCCUAUACUUAGAAGGAUGUGUGUGUGUGUGUGUGUGUGUGUGUGUGUGUGUGUGUGUGUGUGUAUGAAACUACGGAUAAAUAUAACGCAACCUGAGGCGUUAAAUACUGAAGGGACAGGAAAUAAUGCAGGGUGUGGUUAUGGAUGGUGCUAGUUUGGGCGGACUUCCUUGAAGAGGGAAGUCUGGAGCAGGGCUCGCAGGAGGGGACCGGCUGGGAUUGCAAGGGGAGAAAGAAACCCAGACCAGGGGUGUGGGCGGUGCGGUUGGGGCUGGGGCUCGCUGGGCAGCUACUAAAGGCCGGGGCACCUGGGUUCUCAGCAGGCAGCUAUUGUGGGUGCUUGAGAAGUGGGUCAGCAUAGUGAAGUUUGAGAGGCUGCUUUCAGAUUUCUGGGAAUGGAAGUGGGGAAGGCCCAAGGCAGGGAGGAUGCUGAAGGGGCUAUUAUCAUCCAAAUGAAAUCAGCGGGAGGUGAGCAGUGUGGAAAACCUUGUAAAUACGUCUGGAGGAAGAGAGGCCUGGAAUUAUAUCUAUUCAGCCAUUUAACUUGUGCUAAAUACCUCCUGUGUUCUGGAGUGUCAGUUCUGGAAGGGACCUUCAAGGUGACCUAUUCCAUGACUUAGGAAGCUGAAGAUCAGAUAAGGGACCAGUCCAGGGCCACACAGCUGACUCUGAUGGGGCCAGUGCUGGAAACCUGAGUCCCAUGCCAGUGCUCUUUCUGCUGCACAGCUAAGUAUUCCUUGACCUCCGUUUCCAUAUUACAUUUGCAUGUAGUGCGGGAGGAGCUCCCCCGGGUGUAGAGCGACCUUAACGCACCCCGGGGACUCUACUAGCCCUGGGCUGUCCCCUUCGGUCAAAAGUCAGGACUUGCCCCAGAUCCUCUGCCAGCUGCCAGAGUCCCAGGCCCUGAGAUCUUUAACUCCCCCCACAGCUUCCCGCACAGAUUGCCCAAUAAUGUUAUGGGAAGGGAGGGAGGGGAACCCAAGGGUGUGGGCAAGCACAGCUCUGCUGGGCUCCUCUCGCCUGCCCACAUCUGUAUUCCUUUGAACAGUGUGAGAACAUCUGCAGGCCUUCUGCCUAAGCACCACCGGCCCUGUUUCCAGCCUGUUUCUUCCUCCCAUGGACUCUUAUCUGCGUAGACCCAGUGCUGCUGUAAGUAGGAAGGGACCUAGGAUCUGGUCUGAGAGCAGCAAGGAGCCAGGAGUAACCACUCUAGAUGAUGUUAGGGUCCACAGGUGUCUUCUGGAGGUUUUUUUUUGCUUUUGGGGCCACACUCGAGACCCCAGGCUAGGGGUCAAAUCGGAGCUGCAGCCAGACCCAAGCCGCAUCUGUGACCUACACUACAGCUCACAGCAACUUCAGAUCCUUAACCCACUGAGCGAGGCCAGGGGUCGAACCCGCAUCCUCAUGGAUACUAGUAGGGUUCGUUACUGCUGAGCCACAAUGGGAACUCCCUGGAGUUCUUUCUGGAGCCCUGUGUAGCCCCUGCAAUCUCCUUUCCCCAGGUUUGGCCUUCAGUCAAGGUGGAUCAAGCAGUUGUAGAGUUCCUGGCCUCACACCUUUCCCUUGGGGCCUUAGAAAGUGCAAAAAGUGCAAGUUGUGCCUCCAAGGGAUCAUUUCACCUCCCUCUUGUCCUUGGUGAGUGGUGGGGGCACAGGGACGGGGGUGGCAGGACAGAGCUGGGUCCAAACAGGCAGGGCUCUGCUUGAUCAUCCUUGCCUAGAGAGCCCUCUGUCUUAUUGGUGGUUGAGGACACCGCCGUCUCAGAGGGUCCCUAGCAUGUUUUCCUUUCAGUUUGUUUCCAUUCGUCAAGCCAUUGAGUUUGAGGCACUGCUCGGUGCUAGGGAAACAGAGAUGAGGACAAUAGGGUGACUUGCCUUCCAGGGUCACAGAGUUAAGUGAGCUUUUAUUUAAGACCAACACCACCUGUCUCAGACAUAGCAAAGAGACUGACUGCCAGGAAGGGUAUUUUGGAAUGGUGAGCAAGGGACAUUUAUGGAAAUCCCCGGCCAGGAGACCAGGCCAACUAUUCUCCCUUCUCUGAGGAGAUGGCAGCUUCAGGACAAUGGAAAGAAAACAAGAGGAGGAGUUGGAGACUUGGGGAUCUUCUCCCAGCGUUGCCCUUAAUAUGCACCAGGCAAAUCACUGCUCUGGCACGCAGUAUCCUAAUUCUAAAUCGAGGUGCAAUUAAAUAAUUUCUUUGAUCUCUUUCAUCUUUAAGAUGGAAUCAAUCCAGGAAGGCUUCCUGGAAGAAGUACAAUUUCAAUGUUUGAAAAAUGGGGUAAAAACGUUAAGUUACUGUGCUAGGGAAGGCAUCCCUGCUGUGUAAUAUAAUCUGGGGAAGGGUUGAGAGAGGGAGAGAAUGGAGACAAAGGGUUUUGAAAAGUUAUUGUGAACAAGUAGUGUAGGAAUUAGUAGACCUGGAGGAUGAGUGUGAAAAGGCCUUUGGACCCAGUGCUUAGAAGAUCGUACCUAGGCGUUCCCACCACAGCGCAGUGGAUUAAGAGUCCCACAGCAGGGAGUUCCCUUCGUGGCUCAUCGGUUAAUGAGCCUGACUAGGAUCCAUGAGGAUUCGAGUUCUAUCCCUGGCCUCACUCAGUGGGUUAAGGAUCUGGCGUUGCCAUGAGCUGUGGUGUUGGUCGCAGACGUGGAUCGGAUCCUGUGCUGCUGUGGCUGUGGUGUGGGCUGGCAGCUGCAGCUCUGAUUC
Molecule: long non-coding RNA, 5330 nt
Filed under: Sus scrofa (pig)
Lineage: Eukaryota; Metazoa; Chordata; Mammalia; Artiodactyla; Suidae
Description: lncRNA (ENSSSCG00005004474.1)
Source: RNAcentral